This 5996-nucleotide long non-coding RNA is filed under the name Gossypium barbadense (sea-island cotton). RNAcentral's name for it is "long non-coding RNA (GBAR_LNC005362)". Lineage: Eukaryota; Viridiplantae; Streptophyta; Magnoliopsida; Malvales; Malvaceae. The record is from RNAcentral.
GCAAUUUUAUCCCAAAAUUUAUCCCUAACUCAGAUACCCGGACAACCUUAACUUUUCCCCCCUAAAAAUUUUCCCCCAAACGCCAAAUUUUCCCUAAAUCAAAAUCCCAACCCAUCUCUGCAUCGCCGGACCCGACCAUCUGCUGCAUCGCCGGACCCGACCAUCUGCUGCAUCGCCGUCGACUUGACCAUCUUCUGCGUCGCCGUCGACUUGACCAUCUUCUGCGUCGCCGUCGCACUGCUCUUUUUGCCAUCUUCUUCUCUGUUCUCAUUUGCCUCUUUUGACGGAACAUCUUAUUGUUUCGAGGGGUUGUUGUUCAGUUUCAAGAUUUCUUGCUUUUUUGUUUACUUUGGUUGAUAUAAUCAUCUAGAUUGAUUGUUGUUUAUGUAAAAUUUCAGUUACAAUGACCAAGUUUUGAACCCUAACAAGAAGGACAUCAGCAAGGAAAAACUCCCCAGAAACUGUUAUUUUCAUUCAUUUCUCGAUCAUAUUUCCUUUUUCUUAGAAUUGAUAAGACUAAUUGUUGUUCCCUGCAUUUAGUGGGGGAAAUUUCGACGACAGAUUUGAGCCUUAACUAUUUUUAUUUUUUAAGAAAAUCAUAAAAUGCCUUUUCUUCUCUGAUCUUGCUGAAACAUGAUUGCAUCAAUGACAUAAACCUCAUCAGGACGAGUUAACCAGUAUGAAACUUGGUUACAAAAUCUAUAAGUUAAUUUAAUACUUGCAUGAUAAUUGUAAUGUAAUUUCUUGCCUUGUUUAUAAACAUGGUAAAUUCGAUUACUGGUUUCCAACCACUUAGAUUAGAUCAUGGAAGAACCUUAGCUCUUCUCCAUCGUGAAUAUUUGACAUCAAUUUUGCAUUAUAUCAAAUCUGAAAUAACUUGUAUGCAGAGAAGAGAACCCAUAAACAUCCUACCACUAUUGCUUGAAGAAUGUUAAUUUCAUAUCUGAAUUUGCUUUGCUUGUUACUUCAUAAUGAAUUGUUUGUUAGGAGCAAUCUUAUUGAUGAGUUUAUCUACCAAAAUGAGUUGAUUUAUGUUCUCACUUGGAAACUUGCAAUCAGGUUUUAGAAUGGCAGUGAGCAACACGAGUUUGUGUAGCUGACUCACUUUUGCUGGCAGUGAACCACUCAACAAGUUAUUAGAUAUGGAUAAAAUCAGUGUAAAAGACCCAUUAUAUGUUUAAUCAUGGUGCCACUAAGGUUAUUGCUUCAUUUAUGAUGCACCAUUAGUGUAUCAAAAGCUUUCAUCAAGUAUGAAGCUUGUAAUUUUAUUUUCCACUCCCCAUUCACUUUUUCGAAUCAUCCAGCAAUAGUAAUGGCGCAGCAAUUAUGUUUUUGGUUUACACGGUAACAUUGAGCAUUCAUACCACUGCUAUAGCAUCCUAGCUUCAUACAGGUUUAUGUUUGUUGCUUGGUAGUCUCUCAUUUUUGUUUUUAAUAGGUAAGAGGUAAGCCUAACCUCUCAUCUAAUAAAUAUUAGGAAGCUUUCGCUUGAGGGCAUUUGACAGCUUCUUUCUGUGCUACUUUUGUUGGCUUUUAAUUCAUUCUUGUUGUAUACUUCUAGCAUUGGUUACUGUAUAAAGCCUCAAUGCUUCUUUGCAUAGUUCUAAAUAUGCCUUUGUAUGUUUUUGUUUUUCUGCAGUUCUACUUUUAUUGAACAGUUAUGGCUUGGCUGAAACAUUUAGCCAUGCUUUUUAUUGGUUCCUUAUCUAUACAUGGUUACUUGUUGCCGUUCCUCCUAAAGUUGAUUGGUGAUCAAACUAGCAUGAAUGGAGGUAAGAAAUAUAGCAUUCAUGCUCUAAUUAAUAUUAUUUCUUUUUGUUUCCUGAUCUUGAACAUUUUCUUUUCAUGUUUCGGUGGUUUGAUAGCCGUCUUAGAUGGCUUACGUAGAUGCCUUUUUUUUUGUAAUAACUUAGUUUUGAAUGAUUGAUGGCUAUUUUUUCUAACCUUUUCCAUAAAGUUCUAUUUGUAUUUAAGUGUGUUAUAAAUCUUCUCAUCUGGUUAUCUAUUAUUUUUCCCUUAUAUAUUUUUUUCUUUUUUAACUCAGAUUGGUUACUGUUUACUAUUUAGUCAUAUGGAAACUGACUUACCCUAAGCUGUAGCUUUGAAACAAUUAUAGGUAGCUAAUUUUAUGAGAAGAUUUCUAGUUUGAUUCUGCCUAUGUCAUAAAAACUUGAAUUGAUAGAUGAAAAAAUAUUGAGUGAAGUGAUAACCUAUAUUACAUUUUAAAAAGAGAAUGUAUGUUUAAAAUUUGAAGGUAAUAUUAUUGAAUGAGACAAACACAAACUUCAAAUAUAAUAUUAACAGUAAAUUUGACAAGAAAAAUAUUAAAAAAAUCAUAAAAACUUUGAGUUUUAAACCAAAAGAGGAAGGGCAAAUGUUAAGUUGAAAUUAGAAAUGUGACACCCCUAAAGUGACCCUAGUCGGAAAGUGGUUUCGGGACCACUAAACCGAGUCAUAAAGAUAAUUAACCGUCAUAGUUGAUGCUCAUUAUAUGUACAUAUGCAUGUGUGAAAAUUUCAUGUUUGAAUUUUGUUAAUGGUAAGUGAAUUUUAUCAAAUAGGACUUAUGUGAGAAAAUUUAGAAAUGUGCUAGGCAAAUGUAAAGUGGCCUAAUAAUGCAUGUUGUGAAAUGAUGGGUUUGCAUGUCAAAUUCCCCACUUUAGAGGAAGUGGUCGGCCAUGAGGGUAUGGGAUACAAAGCAUAUGCAUUUUGUAUUAAUAUUAUAAUGACUACAUGGUUUUAUAAUAGAAAAUAAGUAUUAAAAAAAACAUAUUAAAGACAUUUUAUGCUAAUAUGUGUGGGAAGAAUAAUAAAAUAUGAGGGGAGUGGGAGGAGAAACCAAAGUUGUCUCCCCCUUACUCCCCAUUGCCGUGACUAGAGAAAGGGGAGGAAAAACAAAAUUCUUCCUUUGUUGUUCAACAUGGCCGAAUGGAAGGAAGAAGAAGAGGGGAAGUUCGGCCAAGGUGGUUCUUGAGAUUAAGGUAUGUUCAAUGCUGCUUUUGGAGGUUUACACAUCCUUUGGAGGGUUAGCCUACUUCUAUUUAUCUCAUGGAUGAAAUUAGAGUUGUUGGAGAGUUAGGAUUCGGCUAAGAGGCUUCAAAAUUUUAGUUGAUGCCUUGAUACUACUAGCAUGUUAGCUAUAUGGAUGUGUUAAAUUACUUGAAAUACUAGAUAAAUUUAAACUCCCAACCAAAUUCUUUAGGCAACCCAUGUUAAAAAUUUCGGUAUUGAGAUGUCUAGAUCUUUCGGCCAUUGUAGCUAUGGAGGAAUAAAGUUUUUGUUUCUUGUUAAAUUGGAUGAAUCUUGUUGUAUGAGUGCUUAAACAAACUAUGAUUAAAUGGAUGCAUAAAUUCAAAGUGGGAAGAAAUGGGCUAUUAUAUUUGAUGUUAAUGCCGAAUAUGAAGAUGAUGAACUUGAAUAAAUAAUAUUCAGCUAGCAUGAUAAGUUAUGAAAUAUUAAGUAGAUGAUAUAAUUGAUUGAUGAAGUGGCUAAUAAGAAUUUCUAAUGAAAUUGUUGCCAAGGCCGAAUGUAUCAUGAAGUAAAUUUGUUUGAUUUAGCUCAAGAGCCUAGAGGAUCAAAGUUGGAUAAGGGAAAGGAAAAAAGUGAUCGAAGAGCCGUCGUAAUCGUUCGGCAACUUUCGAGGUAAGUUUUAAGUGUUUAAACGUUGAGUAAAUUCAAUUAUAAUAAGACGUGAUGAGCUGAUUUAAUAAGAUAUGAUGUGGCCAUGAUAUGUUCUAAGCUCAAAUGGUAAGUUCUUAAGUGUUUGAGCUUGGGAAUUUAAAGGUAAUUUGAAAUAGUCUGCUUCGGACAGUAGCAGUAACGUGAAUUUAGAAAAUCACCAUAAAUUUAUGGACUUGAAUUAGAGGCUGAAUGAGACAUGAAAUUAAAUCUUAAUGAGUCUAGUUUUUUAUAAAAGAAACCGUGUAAGCAAAGGAAUUUCCGAUAAUGAGAUAUUUAAAGUUGUGUGAGACGGUGUCAGAAUGACUCUGAAAUCCCCUGUUCUGUUUUUAGAAAAACAUUAUAAAUUGUACAAAAAUGGUUAUAAGAUAAAAUUUAUAUGCUUAAACUCCUUAAUGAGUUUAGUUUCAAAUAAAAUCAAAUACAACACAUUUUGAAUUCUGUAAAAUGAGAAAUUUGAUUCGUAGUGAAGAGUGGUCAGAUUAGUCAAACAGUGGAACAGGGGAAACUUUAAGAAAAAUCUGGUAUUGAUUGGCCAAACCUAAAAUUCUGGAAAUUUUAUUGAUGGAAGAUAUACGAGUCUAUAUUCAAGAAAAAUUAACGGAAAGUGAUUUGGAGUUUUGUAGCUCCAGUUAUAAAUGAUUUAGUAACUAUUGCUCAGGAAAAACAGCUUGUGCUGAAUUUGAGAUUGUGUUGUAAACUUUGAUAAGCUUGUUCUAGUUGCUCAUAAGCUAUCGAUUAAACCCAUAUAUGAAUUCUAAAUUGUGAUAUUGGAAAAUGAUAGAUGUAGAUUCAGCCAAGAGAGUAUGUGUGAUAAGGCCUAAUAGCCGAUGUGAUGAAUGUGAAAGUGUAUGUAUAUGUGAUAAGGCCUAAUGGCCGAUGUGAUGAAUGUGAAAGUGUAUGUAUAUAUGUGAUAAGGCCUAAUGGCCGAUGUGAUGAAUGUGAAAGUAUAUGUAUAUAUGUAAUAAGGCCUAAUAGCCGAUGUGAUGAAUGUGAAAGUGUAUAUGUGUGAUAAGGCCUAAUAGCCGACGUGAUGAAUGUGAAAGUUUAUGUGUGAUAAGGCCUAAUAGCCGAGGUGAUGAAUGUGAAAGUGUAUGUAUAUAUGUAAUAAGGCCUAAUAGCCGAUGUGAUGAAUGUGAAAGUGUAUGUAUAUAUGUAAUAAGGCCUAAUAGCCGAUGUGAUGAAUGUGAAAGUGUAUAUGUGUGAUAAGGCCUAAUAGCCGACGUGAUGAAUGUGAAAGUGUAUAUAUGUAAUAAGGCCUAAUUGCCGAUGUGAUGAAUGUGAAAGUGUAUAUAUAAGAUAAGGCUUAAUGGCCGAUGCGAUGAAUGUGAAAGUGUAUUUGUGUGAUAAGGCCUAAUAGCCGACGUGAUGAAUGUGAAAGUGUAUAUGUGUGAUAAGGCCUAAUAGCCGACGUGAUGAAUGUGAAAGUGUAUAUAUGUAAUAAGGCCUAAUGGCCGAGGUGAUGAAUGUGAAAGUAUAUAUAUGUGAUAAGGCCUAAUGGCCGAUGUGAUGAAUGUGAAAGUAUAUGUAUAUAUGUAAUAAGGCCUAAUAGCCGAUGUGAUGAAUGUGAAAGUGUAUAUAUGUGAUAAGGCCUAAUGGCCGAUGCGAUGAAUGUGAAAGUGUAUAUAUGUGAUAAGGCCUAAUGGCCGAUGUAAUAAAUGUGAAAGUGUAUAUAUGUGACAGGGCCGAGUGGCCAACGUAAUGGAUGUGAAAGUGCAUAAAUGUGAUAAGUCCCGAAAGGCAUUUGUGUCAGUACUAUAUCCGGGUUAAAACCCCGCAGGCUUUAUGCGAGAAUAUUAUCACUGAUUAAUGUUCUUAAGCUUCGUGCUUGUACUAUAUUCGAGCUCUAAAGACCCGAUGACUACGUGUGGGGAUUUUGUCCGGAUAAGACCCGAUAACUUCGUGUGGAGAUUAUGUCCGGGUAAGACUUCGUAAUAAGAAUUGCUUAUAAAUAUAUUCAAUGCGAAAGGUUAAACAGGUAUGUACUUCAAGUUUAUAUGUGAGCUUGAUUUGCACUAAAUCAUAAGGUAGUUAUGUGAUGCAUACGAAAGCAAUCUAUGAGACUAUUCCUAUGAUUAUGUGACAUCGGAUCAGUGUGAGAGGUGAUGUGAAAUCAUACGAUAUAUCUAUGUCACAUGAGUUCACUUUUAUGUGAAAGUUUAUCUGCCUAUUGUAUAUGAUGAGAUGUGCAGAUUCGGUAAAGGGAUGGUAUGCCCGAAGGAAGAGUGAAAUAAAAAUACGAACAACUAUGUUAUAAUUUGAUUGUUAUCUGUUGACACUGCUUAAAACUUACUAAGCAUUGUAAUGCUUACUCCGUUU